Molecule: non-coding RNA, 228 nt
Organism: Pelobates cultripes (western spadefoot toad)
Lineage: Eukaryota; Metazoa; Chordata; Amphibia; Anura; Pelobatidae
Source: the annotation of a GenBank genome assembly
GGGGAAUGAUAGUGUAUUCCUCUCACUUGACACUGAAAAAGCAUUUGCUCUACCUCUACGCUGUCUUAAAGAAGUUUGAAUUCCCACAAAUGUUCAUGGUGGUGGUCGGUGCCUUAUACAGUAACCCAGAAGCAGAGGUGAUCAACAGCGGGUUUGCCUCGGAGCUAUUCCUGAUCUUAAAUGGAUCCAGACAGGGGUGCCCGCUAUAACCCCUGCUGUACGUGCUGG